UCCCUUCUCUCCGUAAUGCGAAUUGCAGAAUUCCAGUUCUUCCUCUAAUCUUUGAACGUACAUUGCGCCCUUUGGUAUUCCGAAGGGCAUGCCUGUUCGAGCGUCAUUAUCACCCUUCAAGCCCCGUGCUUGGUGUUGGAAGGCUCGGUUGAUGGACAUCGACCCCUCCUAAAGACAAUGACAGCGGCCUGUGGAUCCCCCGGUACACUGAGCUUUUAACUGAGCACGUACCGGAUGAGGGAGCCCGGGACCCGGUCUUCUCCUUUCACUAGGAAGUUUCUCAAGGUUGACCUCGGAUCAGGUAGGAAUACGCGCUGAACUUAAGC
RNAcentral lists this unclassified non-coding RNA (326 nucleotides) under plant metagenome. RNAcentral describes it as "partial contains 5.8S ribosomal RNA, internal transcribed spacer 2, and large subunit ribosomal RNA". The stretch from base 1 to 106 matches the Rfam family "5.8S ribosomal RNA", at positions 50 to 154 of the family's 154-position model. The record is from RNAcentral.